RNAcentral lists this ribosomal RNA (253 nucleotides) under uncultured bacterium. RNAcentral describes it as "partial 16S ribosomal RNA". It matches the Rfam family "Bacterial small subunit ribosomal RNA", at positions 524 to 776 of the family's 1533-position model. The record is from RNAcentral.
UACGAGGGGAGCAAGCGUUGUCCGGAAUUAUUGGGCGUAAAGAGCAUGUAGGCGGUUUGUUAAGUUAGGGGUGAAAGUUUGCGGCUCAACCGUAAAAUUGCCUUUAAUACUGGCGAACUUGAGUGCAGAAGAGGAAAUCGGAAUUCCUGGUGUAGCGGUGAAAUGUGUAGAUAUCAGGAAGAACACCGGUUGCGAAGGCGGAUUUCCGGACUAGCACUGACGCUGAGGCGCGAAAGCUAGGGGAGCGAACGGG